CUUCCUGCAGCUGUGACCACUUGCAGGCAGCUGCUAGAAAAGGACCAGAGUUGGGUGGAGGCUGUGGCAGAUGAAGGAGUAAAAGCUCUCAGGCAGGACAGCUGGGGAGUGCUUGAGAAGUAGAAGGGAAUUUUGGGGAUGAUUUUAUCCCUUGUGCUGUCUGGAGGGGGAGCCGAUAGCUCUGGAAGUAGAGGAGCUAGGGACUAAAAAGCCCCUGAAUGCUGGAGCUGUGUUGGUGUCCCAUUUUCUUCCACCUCCUCUUCCCCUAAGCUACAGCAGGCUGCUCCUUCUUGCAAGCUCUGUGUGUGUGGUGCUGAGACAUUGACACCUACCCCAGAUGGCCAUGAACAUGGCAAAUAAAACUGUCCCCUCGUUGUCAAUCAUGUGAGUGACCUGGAGAAGAUCAAGGAAGAAUGUGAUGGGGGCACCAAGGAGCACCUCGGGGCUGGGGAGAAGCCUCUGCACUUGGUAGUCCUCUUGCCACCCUGAUCUCCCAAGAGACAGUUCUUUGGCAUGAUUCAUGGUGCAGCCCUGCAAACAGUUAUGCUGCUGUUUCUAAGGGCACAGUGAUGCAGCACAGAAGAAGCUGCUGGGGAAGGGGAUAUCAUCAGUCAGGACUGCCACCGAAGACUUUGUGUCCCAAAACAGCGGCCAGACAGACGAGUUCAUCCAGAUGUAAUCUCGGGAGCGGAGCGGUGGUGGUGCAACCAAGUCCUGAUGUAAGAUCUGGAUCCCGAGCUUCCACUGAGGAAUGAGGCCAUGGGAGUCAGCAAGACUGAGAUGAGGAAAGGGCUGAAAUGCUCUGCCAGAUACUCUCUAAUGUGGAGCCACGACCCUGGCUUCACCCAGAGCAGAAGAGCAGUGGGGAGACUGAGGAAGACAAAGCAAGAAGACUUGGGAAGAGGGAUCCCCCCCAAAGAGGCGUUGUUAUGGUGUUCCCAGAUGCAUCCCUAUGCUGCUGUCCAACUGGUGUUAGCCCCAGCAGAGCUCAGGAGAAGGUGAACAGAUCUGCUAGCGUUGCAGUUUCUGUUUCCAGGUGGCUCCCAGGCACGUCAUCUGCACACACAGUCCCCUACUGGGAGGCAAAGCAUCCUGACCAGCACUACCCUACCCCAGAGAAAAGCUGCUGAAGGGAUUAGCAAGGUAGGUUC
This is a long non-coding RNA of Oxyura jamaicensis (ruddy duck), 1151 nucleotides long. RefSeq lists it as uncharacterized. The transcript has 3 exons. The record is from RefSeq and is a predicted model, not a curated record. NCBI's taxonomy places the organism in Eukaryota, Metazoa, Chordata, Aves, Anseriformes, Anatidae.